Molecule: ribosomal RNA, 254 nt
Filed under: uncultured bacterium
Lineage: Bacteria
Description: partial 16S ribosomal RNA
Rfam family: Bacterial small subunit ribosomal RNA
Source: RNAcentral
UACAGAGGGGGCAAGCGUUGUUCGGAAUUACUGGGCGUAAAGGGCGCGUAGGCGGCCUUCUAAGUCGGACGUGAAAUCCCUCGGCUUAACCGAGGAACUGCGUCCGAUACUGAAAGGCUUGAAUCCGGGAGAGGGAUGUGGAAUUCCAGGUGUAGCGGUGAAAUGCGUAGAUAUCUGGAGGAACACCGGUGGCGAAGGCGGCAUCCUGGGCCAACACUGACGCUGAGUGAGCGAAAGCGUGGGUAGCAAACAGG